Non-coding RNA from Petromyzon marinus (sea lamprey), 365 nucleotides. Lineage: Eukaryota; Metazoa; Chordata; Hyperoartia; Petromyzontiformes; Petromyzontidae. The record is from RefSeq and is a predicted model, not a curated record.
ACCAGUGACGAUUAUCUGACACCACCUCCGACCGCCUUUGUCUUCCCAGAUGUAUUGACAGACAUACGCUGUGAACCCGGCAAACCUAGAUUCGAUUCCCUGCCACGGAUACCAUCAAUGGCGAGUGACAUUCGAACCACCCGUCUUGAGCCCUACUCCUAGGACGUGAUUUGGAGGAGACGCUGUGAAUGAGUGAAAUGCCGGUGGCCACGAGAUGCUGCGAGCGAGCGAACGAACGAGCGAACAGGAGACGCCUACUCCUCAUCUUGUCCACGUGCGGGGGUGGCCAGGUUUGAAGAGACCCGUACCAAGCACGUCAUGGGGAACGAACGAACGAACCCCGAUUGCAACUGCGGGGGAGUAGG